This 235-nucleotide ribosomal RNA is filed under the name uncultured fungus. RNAcentral describes it as "partial 18S ribosomal RNA". It matches the Rfam family "Eukaryotic small subunit ribosomal RNA", at positions 548 to 785 of the family's 1831-position model. The record is from RNAcentral. Lineage: Eukaryota; Fungi.
UUGGAGGGCAAGUCUGGUGCCAGCAGCCGCGGUAACUCCAGCUCCAAUAGCGUAUAUUAAAGUUGUUGCAGUUAAAAAGCUCGUAGUUGAAUUUCGGGAUCAAUAUGCUGGUCGUGUCAUUGGUACGUACUAGUAUUAUUGGUUUCUUCCUUCUGAUGAAUCAUGAUGUCAUUAAGUUAAUGUCAUGAGGAAUCAGGACUGUUACUUUGAAAAAAUUAGAGUGUUUAAAGCAGGC